Molecule: ribosomal RNA, 497 nt
Filed under: uncultured bacterium
Lineage: Bacteria
Description: partial 16S ribosomal RNA
Rfam family: Bacterial small subunit ribosomal RNA
Source: RNAcentral
GACGAACGCUGGCGGCGUGCCUAAUACAUGCAAGUUGAGCGCUGAAGGUUGGUACUUGUCCCAACUGGCUGAGCAGCGAACGGGUGAGUAACGCGUGGGGAAUCUGCCUUUGAGCGGGGGACAACAUUUGGAAACGAAUGCUAAUACCGCAUAAAAACUUUAAACACAAGUUUUAAGUUUGAAAGAUGCAAUUGCAUCACUCAAAGAUGAUCCCGCGUUGUAUUAGCUAGUUGGUGAGGUAAAGGCUCACCAAGGCGAUGAUACAUAGCCGACCUGAGAGGGUGAUCGACCACAUUGGGACUGAGACACGGCCCAAACUCCUACGGGAGGCAGCAGUAGGGAAUCUUCGGCAAUGGACGAAAGUCUGACCGAGCAACGCCGCGUGAGUGAAGAAGGUUUUCGGAUCGUAAAACUCUGUUGGUAGAGAAGAACGUUGGUGAGAGUGGAAAGCUCAUCAAGUGACGGUAACUACCCAGAAAGGGACGGCUAACUACGUG